This 370-nucleotide ribosomal RNA is filed under the name uncultured organism. RNAcentral's name for it is "bacterial SSU rRNA". It matches the Rfam family "Bacterial small subunit ribosomal RNA", at positions 526 to 896 of the family's 1533-position model. The record is from RNAcentral.
CGUAGGGUGCAAGCGUUAAUCGGAAUUACUGGGCGUAAAGCGUGCGCAGGCGGCUUUGCAAGACAGAUGUGAAAUCCCCGGGCUUAACCUGGGAACCGCAUUUGUGACUGCAAGGCUAGAGUACGGCAGAGGGGGAUGGAAUUCCGCGUGUAGCAGUGAAAUGCGUAGAUAUGCGGAGGAACACCGAUGGCGAAGGCAAUCCCCUGGGCCUGUACUGACGCUCAUGCACGAAAGCGUGGGGAGCAAACAGGAUUAGAUACCCUGGUAGUCCACGCCCUAAACGAUGUCAACUGGUUGUUGGACGGCUUGCUGUUCAGUAACGAAGCUAACGCGUGAAGUUGACCGCCUGGGGAGUACGGCCGCAAGGUUG